GACGAACGCUGGCGGCGUGCUUAACACAUGCCAGUCGAACGGAAAGGCCCUGCUUGCAGGGUACUCGAGUGGCGAACGGGUGAGUAACACGUGGGUGAUCUGCCCUGCACUUCGGGAUAAGCCUGGGAAACUGGGUCUAAUACCGGAUAGGAGCCAUUUUUAGUGUGAUGGUUGGAAAGUUUUUUCGGUGUAGGAUGAGCUCGCGGCCUAUCAGCUUGUUGGUGGGGUAAUGGCCUACCAAGGCGGCGACGGGUAGCCGGCCUGAGAGGGUGGACGGCCACAGUGGGACUGAGAUACGGCCCAGACUCCUACGGGAGGCAGCAGUGGGGAAUAUUGCACAAUGGGCGCAAGCCUGAUGCAGCGACGCCGCGUGGGGGAGGACGGCCUUCGGGUUGUAAACUCCGUUCGCUAGGGACGAAGCUUUUUGUGACGGUACCUAGAUAAGAAGCACCGGCUAACUACGUG
RNAcentral lists this ribosomal RNA (465 nucleotides) under uncultured bacterium. RNAcentral describes it as "partial 16S ribosomal RNA". It matches the Rfam family "Bacterial small subunit ribosomal RNA", at positions 28 to 507 of the family's 1533-position model. The record is from RNAcentral.